UACACUCCUGCGGGAGGCAGCAGUGGGGAAUAUUGGACAAUGGGCGCAAGCCUGAUCCAGCCAUGCCGCGUGAGUGAUGAAGGCCCUAGGGUUGUAAAGCUCUUUUGUGCGGGAAGAUAAUGACGGUACCGCAAGAAUAAGCCCCGGCUAACUUCGUGCCAGCAGCCGCGGUAAUACGAAGGGGGCUAGCGUUGCUCGGAAUCACUGGGCGUAAAGGGUGCGUAGGCGGGUCUUUAAGUCAGGGGUGAAAUCCUGGAGCUCAACUCCAGAACUGCCUUUGAUACUGAAGAUCUUGAGUUCGGGAGAGGUGAGUGGAACUGCGAGGGUAGAGGUGAAAUUCGUAGAUAUUCGCAAGAACACCAGUGGCGAAGGCGGCUCACUGGCCCGAUACUGACGCUGAGGCACGAAAGCGUGGGGAGCAAACAGGAUUAGAUACCCCGGUAGUCCCAU
RNAcentral lists this ribosomal RNA (450 nucleotides) under uncultured organism. RNAcentral describes it as "partial 16S ribosomal RNA". It matches the Rfam family "Bacterial small subunit ribosomal RNA", at positions 332 to 798 of the family's 1533-position model. The record is from RNAcentral.